GAUGAACGCUGGCUGUGUGCCUAAUACAUGCAUGUCGAGCGAAGCACUUUUGUGCUUAGCGGCGAAUGGGUGAGUAACACGUACUUAACCUACCCUCAAGAUUGGGACAACACUUGGAAACGAGUGCUAAUACCAAAUACGUAUUUUUAUCGCAUGAUAGAUAUAUAAAAGGAGCUUCGGCUUCACUAGAGGAUGGGAGUGCGCUACAUUAGUUAGUUGGUAGGGUAGUGGCCUACCAAGACUAUGAUGUAUAGCGGGGCCGAGAGGCUGAUCCGCCACACUGGGACUGAGAUACGGCCCAGACUCCUACGGGAGGCAGCAGUAGGGAAUUUUCCACAAUGAACGAAAGUUUGAUGGAGCGACACAGCGUGCAGGAUGAAGGUCUUCGGAUUGUAAACUGCUGUUAUAAGAGAAGAAAAACCCUGGUAGGUAAUGACCAGGACUUGACGGUACCUUAUCAGAAAGCGACGGCUAACUAUGUGCCAGCAGCCGCGGUAAUACAUAGGUCGCAAGCGUUAUCCGGAAUUAUUGGGCGUAAAGAGUUCGUAGGUGGUUUUGUAAGUCUGAAGUUAAAUACCGGGGCUCAACCCCGGCCCGCUUUGGAUACUGCAAAACUAGAGUAAUAGAGAGGUUAGUGGAACUCCAAGUGAAGCGGUGGAAUGCGUAGAUAUUUGGAAGAACACCAAUGGCGAAGGCAACUAACUGGAUAUUAACUGACACUGAGGAACGAAAGCGUGGGUAGCAAACAGG
RNAcentral lists this ribosomal RNA (750 nucleotides) under uncultured bacterium. Its description in RNAcentral is "bacterial SSU rRNA". It matches the Rfam family "Bacterial small subunit ribosomal RNA", at positions 28 to 776 of the family's 1533-position model. The record is from RNAcentral.